UGCCCCCGGCCCGGCCCCGCCCCGAGCGGCGGCGGCUCCGUGACCCCGGUGCCGUCCGGUGCGGCGGUGCCGGCAUGGCCGUGCCCUGGGCUCUGCCCGCGCCCCUCAGCCCGGCGCAGCUGAAGCGCCUGGAGCAGCACCGCUACAGCGCGGCCGGGCGCUCGCUGCUUGAGCCGUGGCUGCAGCCGUACUGGGGCUGGCUGGUGGAGCAGGUCCCGCUGGGGCUGGCGCCCAACGCCAUCACCAUGGGCGGCCUCCUGCUGAACUGCCUGACGGCGCUGCCGCUCAUCGCCUGCUGCCCCAGCGCCGCCGAGCAGGCACCUUCUUGGGCAUAUAUCCUGGGUGCAGUAGGACUUUUUAUCUACCAGUCUCUGGAUGCCAUUGAUGGGAAGCAAGCCAGAAGAACAAACAGUAGUUCUCCUCUAGGAGAACUCUUUGAUCAUGGUUGCGACUCCAUUUCCACAGUUUUUGUUGUCCUUGGAUCCUGCAUAGCAAUCCGACUAGGAACAAAUCCUGACUGGUUGUUUUUCUGUUGUUUUGUGGGACUGUUCAUGUUCUAUUCUGCUCACUGGCAGACAUAUGUAUCAGGCAUACUAAGGUUUGGAAAAAUUGAUGUAACUGAAGUUCAGAUAGCCAUAACAAUGCUGCUCUUGAUAUCUGCCUAUGCAGGAGCAGCAAUAUGGGACUACAAGGUCCCUUUGGUGGGCUUAGAACUGAAGUUCUUUGCAGUUAUUGGCAUCCUGUGUGGAACAGCACUUUCUUUUUUCAAUUACUUCCGUGUCAUCUUUGGUGGAGGGGUUGGAAAGAAUGGCUCUACAAUAGCAGGAACAAGUGUUCUUUCGCCAGGCCUGCACAUUGGACUACUUAUCACACUGGCCAUUAUGAUUUAUAAAAAGUCUACAACUCAGCUGUUUGAAAAACACGCUUGCCUGUAUGUCUUAACAUUUGGGAUUGUGAAUGCCAAAAUCUCACAGAAGUUGGUGGUGGCUCACAUGACAAAAAGUGAAAUCUCUCUUCAGGAUUCUGCAUUUAUUGGGCCAGGACUUCUGUUUUUGGACCAGUACUUCAACAGUUUUAUUGAUGAAUAUAUUGUUCUAUGGAUAGCAUUGUUCAUAUCCUUGUUUGAUAUGCUGAGAUAUGCCACUGGUGUGUGCCUACAGAUUGCUGCUCAUCUUCAUAUACAUGUCUUCAGAAUUUCAUCUCAUCAAGCUCCUGAACAGGUUCAAAACCAUAAUGACUGAUUAAAUAGGUCAAGGACAAGAGAAGAAGCAGUUAGGGGAAUGCUGAAUGAAGCAGCCCCUCUGUUUUUGGGAAGACAGAUUAAGCUCUUGAAGAAAACAGUUUUAUGAGAAAGUUCACCGUAUCCCAGACAUUACCAGAUGUUAGAAUUAGUAGAUAACAAAGUUCUGCAGAUGCUAUUGUGAUCAGUACUUUUGAACCAGCAUGUAUUUCAGACCUUCAAUACCACAUUUGAAAAUGUUGCCCUUUCCUGUUAGGUACAACUUGUUUCUCCAUUGAGCCAUCAGAAUAACAUGGACUGAAGAGACUUGCGAACAGUUGCCAUCUCCUGCUGUUGCUGUGACGAGAAAAUGAGAUAAUACUGAACAAAUGCCGUAUCAAUAUGAGUCCUUUGAAUUAAAUGAAUGUCAAAUGACUUU
Molecule: RNA transcript, 1658 nt
Organism: Empidonax traillii (willow flycatcher)
Lineage: Eukaryota; Metazoa; Chordata; Aves; Passeriformes; Tyrannidae
Gene: CHPT1
Gene name: choline phosphotransferase 1
Exons: 9
Source: RefSeq, a predicted model, not a curated record